Molecule: ribosomal RNA, 447 nt
Filed under: uncultured bacterium
Lineage: Bacteria
Description: SSU rRNA
Rfam family: Bacterial small subunit ribosomal RNA
Source: RNAcentral
AGAAUGAACGCUGGCGGCAUGCCUAACACAUGCAAGUCGAACGAAGGCUUCGGCCUUAGUGGCGCACGGGUGCGUAACGCGUGGGAAUCUGCCCUCAGGUUCGGAAUAACAGCGAGAAAUUGCUGCUAAUACCGGAUGAUAUCGCGAGAUCAAAGAUUUAUCGCCUGAGGAUGAGCCCGCGUAGGAUUAGCUAGUUGGUGUGGUAAAGGCGCACCAAGGCGACGAUCCUUAGCUGGUCUGAGAGGAUGAUCAGCCACACUGGGACUGAGACACGGCCCAGACUCCUACGGGAGGCAGCAGUGGGGGAAUAUUGGACAAUGGGCGAAAGCCUGAUCCAGCAAUGCCGCGUGAGUGAUGAAGGCCUUAGGGUUGUAAAGCUCUUUUACCCGGGAUGAUAAUGACAGUACCGGGAGAAUAAGCUCCGGCUAACUCCGCGCCAGCAGCCGC